UGGGGAAUAUUGGACAAUGGGCGAAAGCCUGAUCCAGCCAUGCCGCGUGUGUGAAGAAGGUCUUCGGAUUGUAAAGCACUUUAUGUUGGGAGGAAGGGUUGUAGAUUAAUACUCUGCAAUUUUGACGUUACCGACAGAAUAAGCACCGGCUAACUCUGUGCCAGCAGCCGCGGUAAUACAGAGGGUGCAAGCGUUAAUCGGAAUUACUGGGCGUAAAGCGCGCGUAGGUGGUUUGUUAAGUUGGAUGUGAAAUCCCCGUGCUCAACCUGGGAACUGAAUUAAAAACUGACUGACUAGAGUAUGGUAGAGGGUGGUGGAAUUUCCUGUGUAGCGGUGAAAUGCGUAGAUAUAGGAAGGAACACCAGUGGAGAAGGCGACCACCUGGACUAAUACUGACACUGAGGUGCGAAGGCGUGGGGAGCAAACAGG
This 429-nucleotide ribosomal RNA is filed under the name bacterium. RNAcentral describes it as "partial 16S ribosomal RNA". It matches the Rfam family "Bacterial small subunit ribosomal RNA", at positions 355 to 776 of the family's 1533-position model. The record is from RNAcentral.